Molecule: ribosomal RNA, 366 nt
Filed under: uncultured phototrophic eukaryote
Lineage: Eukaryota
Description: SSU rRNA
Rfam family: Bacterial small subunit ribosomal RNA
Source: RNAcentral
GACGGAGGAUGCAAGUGUUAUCCGGAAUUAUUGGGCGUAAAGCGUCUGUAGGUUGCCUAACAAGUCUGUUGUUAAAGGUUAAAGCUUAACUUUAAAACUGCAGCAGAAACUGCUAGGCUUGAGUACAGUCGAAGUAGAGGGAAUUUCCAGUGAAGCGGUGAAAUGCGUAGAUAUUGGAAGGAACACCAAUGGCGAAAGCACUCUACUAGACUUUUACUGACACUCAGAGACGAAAGCUAGGGUAGCAAAUGGGAUUAGAUACCCCAGUAGUCCUAGCCGUAAACGAUGGAUACUAGAUGUUGUGCAUAAGCAGUAUCGCAGCUAACGCGUUAAGUAUCCCGCCUGGGGAGUACGCUCGCAAGGGUG